UUUAUGGAGAGUUUGAUCCUGGCUCAGGAUGAACGCUGGCGGCGUGCCUAAUACAUGCAAGUCGAGCGAACGGACGAGAAGCUUGCUUCUCUGAUGUUAGCGGCGGACGGGUGAGUAACACGUGGAUAACCUACCUAUAAGACUGGGAUAACUUCGGGAAACCGGAGCUAAUACCGGAUGAUAUUUUGAACCGCAUGGUUCAAAAGUGAAAGACGGUCUUGCUGUCACUUAUAGAUGGAUCCGCGCUGCAUUAGCUAGUUGGUAAGGUAACGGCUUACCAAGGCAACGAUGCAUAGCCGACCUGAGAGGGUGAUCGGCCACACUGGAACUGAGACACGGUCCAGACUCCUACGGGAGGCAGCAGUAGGGAAUCUUCCGCAAUGGGCGAAAGCCUGACGGAGCAACGCCGCGUGAGUGAUGAAGGUCUU
Molecule: ribosomal RNA, 428 nt
Filed under: Staphylococcus aureus
Lineage: Bacteria; Bacillati; Bacillota; Bacilli; Caryophanales; Staphylococcaceae
Description: bacterial SSU rRNA
Rfam family: Bacterial small subunit ribosomal RNA
Source: RNAcentral